GAUCAUGGCCCAGGAUGAACGCUAGCUACAGGCUUAACACAUGCAAGUCGAGGGGCAGCAUGACCUAGCAAUAGGUUGAUGGCGACCGGCGCACGUGUGAGUAACACGUAUCCAACCUACCGGUUAUUCCGGGAUAGCCUUUCGAAAGAAAGAUUAAUACCGGAUAGUAUAACGAGAAGGCAUCUUCUUGUUAUUAAAGAAUUUCGAUAACCGAUGGGGAUGCGUUCCAUUAGUUUGUUGGCGGGUAACGGCCC
Molecule: ribosomal RNA, 254 nt
Filed under: uncultured bacterium
Lineage: Bacteria
Description: partial 16S ribosomal RNA
Rfam family: Bacterial small subunit ribosomal RNA
Source: RNAcentral